UCUCUCUCUCCCUCUGAUAAUGGGUUCGAUUUUGAAUGGGUAUAGUUGAAAUGGGUUCGAUUUGACGAUUUCCAUUUGAGUUUUGAUCUUGAUGUUGAUUUUAAUUAAGGUAAUGAACUAAUGAUGCUGAUUGGGUAGUUAGAAAUGAGUUUCAUAACUUGAUUUCCAUUUAAUCUUGUGGGAAAUGGGUUCGAUUUUGAAUGGGUAUAGUUGAAAUGGGUUCGAUUUGACGAUUUCCAUUUGAUAUUUUGAUGUGGAAGCUGAUCCAUUUAGUGUUUUUGUUUUCAUAGAUGGGGACCGCAGCUAGACCAAGCUACUUAUAAGAACUGUCAGCGUCUUUAUCUUUCCGAACAGACCGAUGGAAGUGUUCCAAAUACCCUUGUCAUUGCAAACUGUGAAGUUGUCAAACCUAGGGUUGCAGCUGCAGAGCACAUAUCACAGUUCAAUGAAGAAGCACGCUCUCCUUUUGUAAAGAAGUAUAAAACUAUAAUACAUCCUGGAGAGGUAUGCAAUACAUCAAAAGUAACUUUGUUUAUAGUCUUUUCUUGUUGAUAAGUUUGCAGGAGAUUGC
Long non-coding RNA from Rosa rugosa (rugosa rose), 571 nucleotides. RefSeq lists it as uncharacterized. Lineage: Eukaryota; Viridiplantae; Streptophyta; Magnoliopsida; Rosales; Rosaceae. The record is from RefSeq and is a predicted model, not a curated record. The transcript is spliced from 3 exons.